Molecule: non-coding RNA, 299 nt
Filed under: Phascolarctos cinereus (koala)
Lineage: Eukaryota; Metazoa; Chordata; Mammalia; Diprotodontia; Phascolarctidae
Source: RNAcentral
GCUAGGAGUGGUGGCUCACCCCUGUAAUCUCUGCUUCUUGGGAGGGCAGAGGCUGAUGGACUGUCGGAGCUCUGGAGCUCAAGCUGCAGUAGAGUUGAAGUCAAUCAAUUGUCUGCAGUAAGUCUAGUACCAAUACAGUGAGCCUCCUGGAGUUGGGGACCACCACGCUGUCUAAGGAGGAGUGCAGUGACUAAGAUUGGAAAUGGAACAGGUCAAAGCUACCAUUCCAAUCAAUAGAAGAGGAUCUCUGAGUGGCUGUUGAACUUCCAGUCUGGACAAGAUAGGGAGAUCCAGUCUCA